Molecule: ribosomal RNA, 492 nt
Filed under: uncultured bacterium
Lineage: Bacteria
Description: partial 16S ribosomal RNA
Rfam family: Bacterial small subunit ribosomal RNA
Source: RNAcentral
AGUGAACGCUGGCGGUAGGCCUAACACAUGCAAGUCGAACGGCAGCACAGUAAGAGCUUGCCCUUACGGGUGGCGAGUGGCGGACGGGUGAGGAAUACAUCGGAAUCUACUUUUUCGUGGGGGAUAACGUAGGGAAACUUACGCUAAUACCGCAUACGACCUACGGGUGAAAGCAGGGGAUCUUCGGACCUUGCGCGAUUGAAUGAGUCGAUGUCGGAUUAGUUAGUUGGCGGGGUAAAGGCCCACCAAGGCGACGAUCCGUAGCUGGUCUGGGAGGAUGAUCAGCCACACUGGAACGGAGACACGGUCCAGACUCCUACGGGAGGCAGCAGUGGGGAAUAUUGGACAAUGGGCGCAAGCCUGAUCCAGCCAUACCGCGUGGGUGAAGAAGGCCUUCGGGUUGUAAAGCCCUUUUGUUGGGAAAGAAAAGCAGCAGGUUAAUACCCCGCUGUUCUGACGGUACCCAAAGAAUAAGCACCGGCUAACUUCGUG